AAUAUAUGAAAAUAUAGAGAAGAAAAAAAGUGAAAAAAAAUGAAAAAACACCCAUAUAUACAUAUGCCUCUUAUAUCUCUCUGUUUUAAAUUUAUAUUUGAGCAAAUUACACAUGUAGUUUCUAAAUUUUUCUUUUUGUAUCAUUUUAGUCUAUAUAUUUUCAAUUAACUCAAUUUUAACUCUUAGUUUUAAAUUUUGUUUCAAUUUGGUCUAAUUGAUAACGUUGUUAUGUUAGUGUUUUUGAGUGAAAAAGUGUCAUUGGUUCUAUGAUUAGGAAGUAUGAUCACCUAGUUUAGGCAGCUACCUAUGUGUAGAUCACAAUUUGGGAGAAAGAUGAUGGGCUAAGGGGUUCUAGAUAGAGGGGACCAAAGACUCAUGUUGUGUGAUGACCGGUUCGUAUUUAAUCUUAUUCUCUAGAGUUGUGUCGAUAUUGCCUUCGUUCGAAGUCGGGUUUCGAGUGUAGUCCUGCCGUCAGUGGUGUUCGUUGUUCCUGAGAAUUAUUUCUAUAGAUAUUUUCAGUUGCAUUGUUUCAUUUCUGAAUUUGUGCGUGUCUCGAAGGGUGCGAGGUCGACUCCAGAGUGCCGAGGAGGAAGCCGAAGUUUUUCCGGGCAAGAGGGCCAGGGCCGCACGUGCAGGAGGUCAAGCCGCACGUGUGGGAAACAGGGCAGUAGGCUGGGUGCACACUCCUAAAAAGGCAGGUGCGCGAGGUGGUGCGGGGAAGGACCGUACGUGCGCAAGUGAGAGUUGCACGUGCGGGAGGGGCCGCUCCGCACGUGCGGGGAGGUACGCCGCACGUGCAACAGAGCGUGUUUUUACUCCGAAUUUCGUGCUUUCAGCUAUAUUUUUGUUAUUUUGUCCCUUUUGCCUUCAUUUUCAAAUUAUAUCACUCUCUCUCUCUACAAUAUUUUCUCUCAUUUCCUCUCAUCUCUCUCUAUCCAAACCCACAAAACAUUAUACCUUCUUUGAUCUCAAGAAAUCCUUAGAGAUUUUGAUGCUAGUCCCUUAUACCAAAAUGAUGAGUGUGUCGAGGGCUUCGUCUUGACUGGUGGAGAUCGUAUUUCGGCGACGUCGAUUUUGGGCUCUUUCUCCUCUUCUCUCUUAAGGUACAGGAAGCAUGCCACCUCCAAGGACAUAGCUUGAGAGGCUAGAGGCAGGCAGACGUUGUGGUUGUGUUAUCUUUUGUUUUAUUACAUGUAAUUUCAAGCCAAAGGCUUAAUGUGUAUUUGAGUUAGUACUCUAUUCCUUGUAACCAAGUGUUAACUUGGAAAACUGUAAGCCCGUAGGGCAUUUGCUUUCGUUGUUAACAUGUAAUGCUUUGUAAAGAAUUAUUCUGAUGAAUAGAAUGAUGUUUAUAUCUUAUAUCAA
Camellia sinensis is the source of this 1365-nucleotide long non-coding RNA. RefSeq lists it as uncharacterized. NCBI's taxonomy places the organism in Eukaryota, Viridiplantae, Streptophyta, Magnoliopsida, Ericales, Theaceae. The record is from RefSeq and is a predicted model, not a curated record.